CGCGGGGUGGAGCAGUUGGUAGCUCACCAGGCUCAUAACCUGGAGGUCGUUGGUUCGAAUCCAACUCCCGCAA
Molecule: transfer RNA, 73 nt
Filed under: Clostridia bacterium
Lineage: Bacteria; Bacillati; Bacillota; Clostridia
Description: tRNA-Met
Rfam family: tRNA
About the family: Transfer RNA (tRNA) molecules are approximately 80 nucleotides in length. Their secondary structure includes four short double-helical elements and three loops (D, anti-codon, and T loops).
Source: RNAcentral